This 358-nucleotide ribosomal RNA is filed under the name Columbicola adamsi. Its description in RNAcentral is "partial 12S ribosomal RNA". Lineage: Eukaryota; Metazoa; Arthropoda; Insecta; Psocodea; Philopteridae. The record is from RNAcentral.
UUAUCAGGAGGGAAAAAUGGAAUUAGGGAGUAGGACCAGCUGAAAACCAUCUAGGAUGGCGGUUUUUUUUAUUAUUAGACAGAUGUGUUUUUAAAACGAAAAUACACGAGCAUCUUUCUUACUCUUGAACCCCUCAUCCUGUACACCGCCGUCUGAAGAGUAAGUUUAAAUGGCUAACUCUAUUUCUAUUUCUACAGAAAUAAGUCAGGUAAGGUGCAGACCAUGGGUAAGAAAAAAUGCAUUUCACUAAACCCCUAGGGAGCAGGUUGAAAGCCUUUCCCAAGAUGAAUUUAAUAGUAAGGUUUUUUAAUCAUAAAAAUCUGAAUUAAUUUCAAGAAAAUGUACACAUCGCCCGUCG